AGCACAUUUCUUGUGUGACCGCGUACUUUUUGUAGAACGGGCCAACGAGUUACGUUAAGUAGCAAGGUUAAGCACUUAAGGUGCGGAGCCGUAGCGAAAGCGAGUUUUAACUGAGCGUUCAGUUACUUGACGUAGACCCGAAACCGGGCGACCUACCCAUGAGCAGGAUGAAGCGAAAGUAAAAUUUCGUGGAGGUCCGAACCCACGAGCG
RNAcentral lists this ribosomal RNA (211 nucleotides) under Clostridioides difficile. RNAcentral describes it as "partial 23S ribosomal RNA". It matches the Rfam family "Bacterial large subunit ribosomal RNA", at positions 578 to 788 of the family's 2925-position model. Lineage: Bacteria; Bacillati; Bacillota; Clostridia; Peptostreptococcales; Peptostreptococcaceae. The record is from RNAcentral.